Molecule: ribosomal RNA, 450 nt
Filed under: uncultured bacterium
Lineage: Bacteria
Description: bacterial SSU rRNA
Rfam family: Bacterial small subunit ribosomal RNA
Source: RNAcentral
AAUCAACGCUGGCGGCGUGCCUAACACAUGCAAGUCGAACGCGAGAGGGGCUUCGGCCCUGAUUGAGUGGCAAACGGGUGAGUAACGCGUGGGUGACCUACCUUCGAGUGGGGGAUAACGUUCCGAAAGGGACGCUAAUACCGCAUAACAUCCUGUCUUUGGACAGAUGGAGAUCAAAGCCGGGAUCGUAAGACCUGGCGCUUGAGGAGGGGCCCGCGUCCGAUUAGCUAGUUGGUGGGAAUGGCUCACCAAGGCAACGAUCGGUAGCCGGCCUGAGAGGGCGGACGGCCACACUGGGACUGAGACACGGCCCAGACUCCUACGGGAGGCAGCAGUGGGGAAUUGUUCGCAAUGGGCGCAAGCCUGACGACGCAACGCCGCGUGAAGGAUGAAGGUCUCGGAUUGUAAACUUCUGUUGAUCGGGACGAACAGCCAAGGGAUCAAUACCCC